Molecule: long non-coding RNA, 151 nt
Organism: Alosa sapidissima (American shad)
Lineage: Eukaryota; Metazoa; Chordata; Actinopteri; Clupeiformes; Clupeidae
Exons: 3
Source: RefSeq, a predicted model, not a curated record
CUUCAGGGCUUCACUGCGGGCGGGAUGAGAGAGGUGCGUUCGCGGGUUCGGGACAAACCAAUGAUUCACUGCUCUCCCGCAAAUUAAAUAUGUGCGUAAAAUUAAAUAUGGAAAUGAUUAAAGUAGUGUUCAUAAUUAUAGUUCAGCUGGA